RNAcentral lists this ribosomal RNA (380 nucleotides) under uncultured eukaryote. Its description in RNAcentral is "partial 18S ribosomal RNA". It matches the Rfam family "Eukaryotic small subunit ribosomal RNA", at positions 592 to 976 of the family's 1831-position model. The record is from RNAcentral.
CAAUAGCGUAUAUUAAAGUUGUUGCGGUUAAAAAGCUCGUAGUUGGAUUUCUGCUGAGAACGACCGGUCCGCCCUUUGGGUGUGUAUCUGGCUCUUUCUUGGCAUCUUCUUGGUGAACGUUGCUGCACUUGACUGUGUGGAGCGCUACCCAGGACUUUUACUUUGAGGAAAUUAGAGUGUUUCAAGCAGGCAUACGCCUUGAAUACAUUAGCAUGGAAUAAUAAGAUAGGACCUCGGUUCUAUUUUGUUGGUUUCUAGAGCUGAGGUAAUGAUUAAUAGGGAUAGUUGGGGGCAUUAGUAUUUAAUUGUCAGAGGUGGAAUUCUCAGAUUUGUUAAAGACUAACUUAUGCGAAAGCAUUUGCCAAGGAUGUUUUCAUUAA